RNAcentral lists this ribosomal RNA (602 nucleotides) under uncultured fungus. RNAcentral describes it as "eukaryotic LSU rRNA". It matches the Rfam family "Eukaryotic large subunit ribosomal RNA", at positions 37 to 654 of the family's 3401-position model. Lineage: Eukaryota; Fungi. The record is from RNAcentral.
AGCGUAUCAAUAAGCGGAGGAAAAGAAACCAACAGGGAUUGCCCUAGUAACGGCGAGUGAAGCGGCAACAGCUCAAAUUUGAAAUCUGGCGUCUUUGGCGUCCGAGUUGUAAUUUGCAGAGGGCGCUUUGGCAUUGGCAGCGGUCCAAGUUCCUUGGAACAGGACGUCACAGAGGGUGAGAAUCCCGUACGUGGUCGCUAGCCUCUACCGUGUAAAGCCCCUUCGACGAGUCGAGUUGUUUGGGAAUGCAGCUCUAAAUGGGAGGUAAAUUUCUUCUAAAGCUAAAUACUGGCCAGAGACCGAUAGCGCACAAGUAGAGUGAUCGAAAGAUGAAAAGCACUUUGGAAAGAGAGUUAAAAAGCACGUGAAAUUGUUGAAAGGGAAGCGCUUGCAGCCAGACUUGCCUGUAGUUGCUCAUCCGGGUUUCUACCCGGUGCACUCUUCUAUAGGCAGGCCAGCAUCAGUUUGGGCGGUUGGAUAAAGGUCUCUGUCACGUACCUCCUCUCGGGGAGGCCUUAUAGGGGAGACGACAUGCAACCAGCCUGGACUGAGGUCCGCGCAUCUGCUAGGAUGCUGGCGUAAUGGCUGUAAGCGGCCCGUCU